Molecule: long non-coding RNA, 3557 nt
Organism: Canis lupus familiaris (dog)
Lineage: Eukaryota; Metazoa; Chordata; Mammalia; Carnivora; Canidae
Exons: 6
Source: RefSeq, a predicted model, not a curated record
GGAAGUGCAAAAUCGAAUGUGAGCAGGGCCAUGUGGGCUCUGAAAGCUCUAGGGGAACCUUCCCUUCAUCCUCCUGGGGUUCCGUGGCCUGCAGCUGCCCAGCCCACCUCUCUGUCUCUGCGGUCACACAGGCACCUCCUUGGGUGUCUCUGCUGUCACAUGGCCAUCUCCUCUCAGGAAUACGGUCCUGUUGGAGUAGGGUCCAGCCUCUCCACCAGGACCUCGCUAAUCACGUCUGCAGUGACUCUACUUCCAAAAAAGGCCACAUUCACAGGGUCGGGGGACUCUAGGCACUGUGCCUAGAGCACCUGAUGGACGACUCAGCCCUGAUCCCCAGUACAUAGCACAUAGUACAUAGUGCUGGACACAUGAAAAUCUGAUGGAUGAAUAAAUGGCUGAAGAGUGGUGCCAGAGCUUUGUUUUCAACACUCAUGGAAGACAAUUCACACAGUGAGAAGUAAAUCAGAUGCUAGAGCUCGGGCUUCUAGCAAAGGUGAGCAGAGACUUCCCUGUCCUCUCAAGGAGAGAAAGCUUGGGGGAUCCCCUCCCACUGUGAGCUUCUGGAGAGUGAGGAUCUUGUCUUUGAUUCACCAAAAUGCCAGAUCUUUCAUAAGAGUAAAAACCUAGGAGGAGAAGAUGCCAGUGUACAUGUGUUCGAGGGUCUCACAAUGAGAAGAGUGGCCAGGUCUUCUGUCUUCUCACUGAGAAAAAGGCAAGUGAACUAAUUGUAGUUCAAAUGGCAGAAACAAUAGAAUUCUACAUGGUGGAUGUCAGGCUUCCUUUUCUGAGGAUCCUUAAAGCAGAUCCAAGCCCCUACUGAGAAGAGUGUUCUACAGGGCCAUUGGGGUCAUAGGAUCCCACCUUCCUUCGCCAGAGCUGAUUGGACACAGAAAUCAUUCCUGACUCACAGGUGACCAGUUGGUUGUCUGCUUCAUGAACAAUCAGAUGUUUCUCUAAGAGUGUGAACUUAGAGAAAUAGAACUAUGAUCAGAGGGCAUUAGUCCUUAAAUUCUAAGUUCCUGGGUAGUUGAGCAUGGGGUGACCUUUUUUUUUGUCCUUUGGACACCGAUGACUAGCUGCAUAGAGAGGCAGAAGAGUGGACACACUGAAAGAAAAAGAGAGAUCCCAGGGCACUCAAAGACACAAAAGACAGAUGGGGAAGCAUCCUUGGUCUCCCAUUGGUUUCCCAGCCCUGCCACCAUGCGCAUGAGGUUCCCUGCACCUCUUGUCUGCUGGGAUGCUUCUGGGCCUCUCAACGGCCCCAUCUUCAAGAGCCAUCUUGAUUAGGUUUCUGCCCCCCAUGGAGCCCUGGGGAAACCAACUCUGGCAGGUGUCUGCCGUUCUCAGCAAGUGAAUGUGGCCUCUCUGAUGAAGAUUUGGUCUCCACAGAUGUCUCCUCAAGUAUCUUUUUUCCACCUUGCUCUGGAGAGUUUCAAACAUUUAUAUAUAUAAGAGAAUGCCUGGACUCUUUAUAUAUAAAACAAAGCAGCCAGAAUAAAGAACCUCAUGUGCCCAUCACCAGGCUUCAGAGGUUUUCAAUUCCCGCCCCACUGUGCUUCGGGUACACACCCACGCCUCCCCACUCCUGCAUUAUCUGGAGCAAAUCCCAGACGGAUCAUUGUAUCUGCAAAUAUGCCAUUGUGUAUCUCUAAAAGAUAAAGCUUCUUUUUAAGAAAACAUAAUCAAAGUCCUUUCUUGAUCUAACUAACAUUAAUUUCUUCUGAUAAUUACUGGUUUUCUUUUGUGCCAGAUACUUUGAUAAAAGCAUUUGCAUGUUAUCUCUAUUAUAGGAAAAGAGAGUACCUACCAGCCCUGGUAAAGGACAGUUGCCAGAAUUUUCUCAGUUAAACAUUUCAGGCAGGUGAAGAAAUACACAUAAGUUUAACAAUAAUAAGGAACAACAGGUCAACAACAAAGCAACCUUCUCCUGAGCGAAGAGCACUUUCCAAGACUCACUGAAAUCCCAGGCAACGUCGUUCUCGAUUCAGGGCGCUGAUGAACAUCCCACUAGCUGGUGUGAUCCACCCACCUGGAGAAGCCCUGGGCCGGAAGGAGAGCUCUGUGCCUGGAGGGCUGCCUUCUACCAAGAGGACAGAUGGAUCAUCUGCCUGCUUUCUGGGUGUACAGGAUCUUGCCUGCGGAGGUUCCUCCAAUCUGCCAAAUGCACACACACACACACACACACACACACACAAACGUGUACGAUGAAAGAAGUGAGUUCUCAGGAAGAAGCAGCUCAGAUAACAAAAAUGUGUCUUUUCCAACAUGAAACAAAAUGAAAACACAUAGCCACUGAAGACUGACUGGAAACUAAUGCAGUUGAGCAGUGGUUGUCAAACUGUGUUCCUGGGAACCAAGGACGUUUGAGAGAUGGCACAGGAGUCCUGUCAAUGUAACAGACACACGGGACUGUGUACUGCUUGCUGGCUUCCAGAGCCCCCUGCCUCCUGGUCCCAGGGGAGGAGAGGCAAUACUUGAGAAGAAAGCCUCCAGCUUUGAAUGGCUCGAGGGUUGUGGAAGGAGAAGUAUCUAUGAGAGCCUUAUCUCUUUCAAAUCCUUUGGCCAACCCACCUCAAGCAACCUCUUCUCUCCCACUUUGCGGGGGGUACUCCUCAGAUUAAUGCAGGAAUGAGACAGACCCUGGAGCUCCUGGAGAACAAGCCCUUCUCCCCACGUGCCACCUGCAGCCGGUUCUAACCAGAGAAAGUACAUCUUUAAUCUCCUGAGCUGUGGGAAAAUCGACACACUUGGUUAGGCUCCUGAUGCUAACACCCCAGUACAAAUAAGGACAAGAGAAACCUUCUGCUUUCAUUACAAGGGAUUUGUACAAAUUCAUACGUGGAAUUGACUUACAGCUUCUAAUUUAUAUUUAAAUCCCGAAUGUCUUAGUCAGAAGAAACUGCUCUAUAUCCAUUGUCUGUGUCUGCACCAUUGAUUCGUGCUUCAAAUAGACCCCACGGGCCCAGUUGUAAUUCCCAUCGGCACAUCCACAUAUUUCUUCCCAGAGGUGGCUUAUGGAGUUUCUGAGAACAUCGGAGUUCCCCGGGGCGAAGAGAUGGAUGGGAAUCAUACCCUUGGGAAUCACAUCCGAUGAGAGAAGGACGAUGAAGAAAAUCAUUCUCUACCCUUUCCUGGCUCUGAUACCAGGAUGGAGGGACGACAGAAGUCUGUAUGGGGACAAGGGUGCCUGAUUGCAUUCUCUCACAUUGGUAAGGACAAACGAGGAAAGUUUCUUAUGUUUCACACCAUGGGAAGCUCUAUCAUCUGUUGGCUGUGUCACUUUGGAUAAGAAACCACCUCUCUGUGUCUGGACUUUCUCAUCCACAAAAUGAAAAUAAUAAGAGUAUGUACUCUCAUGGGAUUAUUACGAUGAUUAAGUGAGAAUAUAAAUGUUUAGAUGCACGCCUGAUGCAUAGCAAUAUUUGCCCAUUGUUACGAGAAACACAGACAAAAUGAACAAAGGAAAUGAAGUUUGUUGCCAUGAACAUCAUCAUAAGGAACAUGACCAAAGAAAUUAACUUGGCUCUUUUGGGAGUUUUUUGGUUACGGUAGUGUGG